RNAcentral lists this ribosomal RNA (480 nucleotides) under uncultured bacterium. RNAcentral's name for it is "bacterial SSU rRNA". It matches the Rfam family "Bacterial small subunit ribosomal RNA", at positions 903 to 1397 of the family's 1533-position model. The record is from RNAcentral.
AAAGGAAUAGACGGGGGCCCGCACAAGCAGCGGAGCGUGUGGUUUAAUUCGAGGCUACACGAAGAACCUUACCUGGGCUUGACAUGGUGGUGGUAGGGAAGCGAAAGCGGACCGACCUUCGGGAGCCAUCACAGGUGCUGCAUGGCUGUCGUCAGCUCGUGUCGUGAGAUGUUCGGUUAAGUCCGGUAACGAGCGCAACCCUUGCCGUUAGUUACAAGUGUCUAGCGGGACUGCCCGUAGAAAGCGGGAGGAAGGUGGGGAUGACGUCAAGUCAGCAUGGCCUUAAUGUCCAGGGCUACACACACGCUACAAUGGCCGGUCCAAUGGGUCGCCAACCCGCGAGGGGGAGCCAAUCCAGGAAAGCCGGUCGUAGUUCGGAUUGCAGGCUGCAACCCGCCUGCAUGAAGUCGGAGUUGCUAGUAAACGCCGGUCAGCCAUACGGCGUUGAAUACGUUCCCGGGCCUUGUACACACCGCCCGU